Molecule: non-coding RNA, 388 nt
Organism: Doryrhamphus excisus (bluestripe pipefish)
Lineage: Eukaryota; Metazoa; Chordata; Actinopteri; Syngnathiformes; Syngnathidae
Source: RefSeq, a predicted model, not a curated record
GUUGCCAUUAGCUAUCGAGCACCUAGCUAGGCGGCGUUAGCUCACGCCAAUUCAUGACUAAAGGCGGCUUUGGCGCCAACAAGAAGACAUUUGCGACAUGAAAACAAACUUACCUGAUGUUAGAUACCCACAAACAUUUAGCCAACUCAGUGGAAGGCACUUCGUCUCUAAAAUAACCACGACGGCGACUUGUGCGGAACCACCCUCUGUUACUGCCAGGGCAAAAAGGCUGACCUACAAAUGCAAAAAUGCAGGUUAUUCCAACUGGACAUGAUUCAGCAUGUGAAGCCUGCUGCACGCUGAUACAGCCACCAGGCACUGAACACCCACACGCAUGCAAUCUGACUGAUUAAUUCUCUUUACAUUGAAAGGAAAACUGCUUUUGGAA